UAAUACGGGGGGGGCAAGCGUUGUUCGGAAUUACUGGGCGUAAAGGGCGCGUAGGCGGCCUACUAAGUCGGACGUGAAAUCCCUCGGCUCAACCGAGGAACUGCGUCCGAUACUGGCAGGCUGGAAUCCGGGAGAGGGAUGUGGAAUUCCAGGUGUAGCGGUGAAAUGCGUAGAUAUCUGGAGGAACACCGGUGGCGAAGGCGGCAUCCUGGACCGGUAUUGACGCUGAGGCGCGAAAGCUAGGGGAGCAGACAGG
This 256-nucleotide ribosomal RNA is filed under the name uncultured prokaryote. RNAcentral's name for it is "partial 16S ribosomal RNA". It matches the Rfam family "Bacterial small subunit ribosomal RNA", at positions 521 to 776 of the family's 1533-position model. The record is from RNAcentral.